AGAGUUUGAUCCUGGCUCAGGAUGAACGCUGGCGGCGUGCUUAACACAUGCAAGUCGAACGCACCUUCGGGUGUGGCGGACGGGUGAGUAACGCGUGAGAAUCUGCCCUCAGGAGGGGGAUAACGGCUGGAAACGGCCGCUAAUACCCCAUAUGCCGCGAGGUGAAACGAGUUUCCGCCUGAGGAUGAGCUCGCGUCUGAUUAGCUAGUUGGUGGGGUAAGAGCCUACCAAGGCAUCGAUCAGUAGCUGGUCUGAGAGGAUGAUCAGCCACACUGGGACUGAGACACGGCCCAGACUCCUACGGGAGGCAGCAGUGGGGAAUUUUCCGCAAUGGGCGAAAGCCUGACGGAGCAACGCCGCGUGAGGGAUGAAGGCCUCUGGGCUGUAAACCUCUUUUCUCAAGGAAGAAGAUCUGACGGUACUUGAGGAAUAAGCCACGGCUAUUCCGUGCCAGCCGCGGUAAUACGGGAGUGGCAAGCGUUAUCCGGAAUUAUUGGGCGUAAAGCGUCCGCAGGCGGUCUUGAAAGUCUGUUGUUAAAGCGUGGAGCUUAACUCCAUUUCAGCAAUGGAAACUAGAAGACUAGAGUGUGGUAGGGGCAGAGGGAAUUCCCGGUGUAGCGGUGAAAUGCGUAGAUAUCGGGAAGAACACCAGUGGCGAAGGCGCUCUGCUGGGCCAUAACUGACGCUCAUGGACGAAAGCCAGGGGAGCGAAAGGGAUUAGAUACCCCUGUAGUCCUGGCCGUAAACGAUGAACACUAGGUGUCGGGGGAAUCGACCCCCUCGGUGUCUAGCCAACGCGUUAAGUGUUCCGCCUGGGGAGUACGCACGCAAGUGUGAAACUCAAAGGAAUUGACGGGGGCCCGCCCAAGCGGUGGAGUAUGUGGAUUAAUUCGAUGCAACGCGAAGAACCUUACCAGGGUUUGACAUCCUGCGAAUCCCUUGGAAACGAGGGAGUGCCUUCGGGAGCGCAGAGACAGGUGGUGCAUGGCUGUCGUCAGCUCGUGUCGUGAGAUGUUGGGUUAAGUCCCGCAACGAGCGCAACCCACGUCUUUAGUUGCCGGCAUUCAGUUGGGCACUCUAGAGAGACCGCCGGUGAUAAACCGGAGGAAGGUGUGGAUGACGUCAAGUCAUCAUGCCCCUUACAUCCUGGGCUACACACGUACUACAAUGCUACGGACAAAGGGCGGCAAACCCGCGAGAGCUAGCAAAUCCCAUAAACCGUGGCUCAGUUCAGAUCGUAGGCUGCAACUCGCCUACGUGAAGGAGGAAUCGCUAGUAAUCGCAGGUCAGCAUACUGCGGUGAAUACGUUCCCGGGCCUUGUACACACCGCCCGUCACACCAUGGAAGUUGGCCACGCCCGAAGUCGUUACUCCAACCCUCGUGGAGGAGGACGCCGAAGGUGGGGCUGAUGACUGGGGUGAAGUCGUAACAAGGUA
RNAcentral lists this ribosomal RNA (1437 nucleotides) under metagenome. RNAcentral describes it as "bacterial SSU rRNA". It matches the Rfam family "Bacterial small subunit ribosomal RNA". The record is from RNAcentral.